Molecule: long non-coding RNA, 1172 nt
Organism: Antechinus flavipes (yellow-footed antechinus)
Lineage: Eukaryota; Metazoa; Chordata; Mammalia; Dasyuromorphia; Dasyuridae
Exons: 3
Source: RefSeq, a predicted model, not a curated record
UCUUCUGCCACCUGGGACCAGCCUUUCUCAGGCGCCCAAGGCCUGGGCCCCAGAGGCAUCUGGGCCAAGGUGGACCUGGGAAACGGGCCAAUGGGCGGGAGUUCCUCUCAGAUCCCGGGGAGGGAGACCUGUGCCCCGCAAGGCUCCUGGCGGCUGUGAGGGGAGAGCCGAGCAGCAGCCGGGGCAGCCCCGAGCCGGGACAGGGAUUCUCUGAGACCAGCCGCCCGCGCUCUGGGCUCUCUGCGAGUCCGCAGCUGCUCUAAGCCGGGACUCAAGAGCCCCCACAAGCGAGUUUCCUUUUACCAGUCAGAGGACGCCAGGAGUUUAUCCUCCGGCAUCGUGUUGUGUCAGAAGGGCGGCCUUCCCGGGACCCAGAUCAGGCAGGAAGGCGAAGGGCCAGUCCCACCGAUUCCGCAUUCUUGCCUGGCGCCACGUUUCCUCCCACAGAGCGGUAGGAAAUCACCCCGAGGGCGCCCUAAGACCGACCCGUUUUUCAUAUGAAAAAUGGGAUGACCUCCAGCUCCCCGCCUAUCGGAAAUCCACAACCCACCCCACGGCAUCGUUCCGAGCCCGUCAGCGAGCUGCUUUUUCAGUCAGCCAGAUGACACAAAGGCAUCAUGGCAAGAACGCAGCAAGAAUUCCCCUUCUGAAGAGGAUCGCCCAUCCCCCCACGCCUUCAGGUCCACAAUCUGGAAGUCCUCCCCGACUCCUCGCUGCUGCUCCUGUCCCACUUCCAAGCUCUUGCCAAUAUCCGUACAUCUGUGCAGCAUCUCUCAAUAAUGCCCCCUGCUCCGCCCCUGCAUACCCCCCCCCAUGCCUCAUCAUCUCAUGACCCCCCAGGUCAUGGCAAUGGCCUUUUUGGUACACCUCACGCCCUGCCAGGUACUCUACAAUUCAGGGAUACAGGUCUCCCGGCCAUCCCGGCUCUCCUCUCCGGGUAUUGUCCCCUGUAUCUGGAAAGAGCUUUCUCCUGCACUUCGACCACUGAGCUGCCCGACUUCCUGGAAGUCCCCACUAAAAUCUCACCUCCUGUAGGAUGCCUUCCCCAGCCUUUCUGAAUCCCCGUGCCUUUCCCCCUAAUUAUUUUCUAUUUAUACUGUAUAGAACUUGCUUUGUACAUAUUUGUUUGCAUGUUGUCUCUUCCAAUAAAUCGUGAGCUUUCCGAGUUGCCA